GGCAGUUCUUGGGUGACACACCCUGGAAUCAGGCUCCUUCCUCUCUUUCCUCUCUGGUUCUGUGUGUGUGUCACCCGAGAACCACA
Non-coding RNA from Myotis brandtii (Brandt's bat), 86 nucleotides. The record is from Rfam. Lineage: Eukaryota; Metazoa; Chordata; Mammalia; Chiroptera; Vespertilionidae.